CCGGCGCACGGGUGAGUAACGCGUAUGCAACCUGCCUGAUACCGGGGUAUAGCCCAUGGAAACGUGGAUUAACACCCCAUAGUACUUUUAUCCUGCAUGGGAUGUGAGUUAAAUGUUCAAGGUAUCGGAUGGGCAUGCGUCCUAUUAGUUAGUUGGCGGGGUAACAGCCCACCAAGACGAUGAUAGGUAGGGGUUCUGAGAGGAAGGUCCCUCACAUUGGAACUGAGACACGGUCCAA
This 238-nucleotide ribosomal RNA is filed under the name uncultured bacterium. RNAcentral describes it as "partial 16S ribosomal RNA". It matches the Rfam family "Bacterial small subunit ribosomal RNA", at positions 95 to 334 of the family's 1533-position model. The record is from RNAcentral.